AACCUGAUGAGUUAGGGUUCAUACCUGCGAUAUAUAACUUGUUAGGGUUCCAGCCUUAUGAGUCGGUCGAUUAGGGUUUAUCGUUCGAUCUUCGUGAUAGCGAGGAUCAAGGUUCACGAGCUCGGCGGGAAGUCCAAUACGGAACUCCAGAACCAAUUGUAGGACCUCAAGAAUGAGCUCUCACUCCACCGUGUCGCUUAGGUCACCGGCGGCGCUCCCAACAAGCUCUCGAAGACAUCCUCAUUCGUUGCCUGAUUUAUUUAUUUUAAAAAAUUACAUUUUUGCGUUGGUUGGUUGUGAUUACGCUCCGAAAGUUUGGAUAUGUGAUUGAGUUGGCAGAAAGGUGGUUAGGCUAUCGAUCGCUCGCGUGCUUACUGUCAUUUCCCAAAAGCAGAAAGCGGCGUUGAGGGAGGCUUACAAAAAUAAGAAGCUCCUCCCGUUGGAUCUCCGCCCCAAGAAGACACGAGCCAUCCGGCGCCGUCUCACCAAGCAUCAGAAGUCUUUGAAGACUGAACGUGAGAAGAAAAGGGUAAUGUACUUCCCAAAGAGAAAAUAUGUCCUUUUAGCAAAUUAAUAUUUUAUGCUCUUUUUUCUACCAUUGAAGAUACUGUUAUUUGAUUAUUUUUUUUUUAGUUGGUACCGAAUUAGCUCAUGGAAUUGACUAAUUCUGAAUUUGGUUACUUAACUUUGAAAAAUAGUGAUCAAGUCUCAGUACUCGAGUUAUGCAUCCAAUUAAAUUCCUGUUAUUUGGCA
Long non-coding RNA from Zingiber officinale, 753 nucleotides. RefSeq lists it as uncharacterized. The record is from RefSeq and is a predicted model, not a curated record. The transcript has 2 exons. Lineage: Eukaryota; Viridiplantae; Streptophyta; Magnoliopsida; Zingiberales; Zingiberaceae.